UAAGUCCUACGGGGGGCAGCAGUGAGGAAUAUUGGUCAAUGGGCGCGAGCCUGAACCAGCCAAGUCGCGUGAAGGAAGACGGUCCUAUGGAUUGUAAACCUCUUUUGUCGGGGAGCAAAGGACGCCACGUGUGGCGUUCCGAGAGUACCCGAAGAAAAAGCAUCGGCUAACUCCGUGCCAGCAGCCGCGGUAAUACGGAGGAUGCGAGCGUUAUCCGGAUUUAUUGGGUUUAAAGGGUGCGCAGGCGGAAGAUCAAGUCAGCGGUAAAAUUGAGAGGCUCAACCUCUUCGAGCCGUU
Molecule: ribosomal RNA, 297 nt
Filed under: uncultured bacterium
Lineage: Bacteria
Description: partial 16S ribosomal RNA
Rfam family: Bacterial small subunit ribosomal RNA
Source: RNAcentral